UCAAAUCAUCAUGCCCCUUAUAUCUUGGGCUUCACACGUACUACAAUGGCGGCCAUACAACGUGCAGCGACACGGCGACGUGAAGCGAAUCACUCAAAAGCCGCCUCAGUUCGGAUUGCAGGCUGCAACUCGCCUGCAUGAAGUCGGAAUCGCUAGUAAUCGCGGGUCAGAAUACCGCGGUGAAUGUGUUCCUGAGCCUU
RNAcentral lists this ribosomal RNA (200 nucleotides) under uncultured prokaryote. RNAcentral's name for it is "partial 16S ribosomal RNA". It matches the Rfam family "Bacterial small subunit ribosomal RNA", at positions 1185 to 1382 of the family's 1533-position model. The record is from RNAcentral.